This 1173-nucleotide ribosomal RNA is filed under the name Escherichia coli. RNAcentral's name for it is "partial 23S ribosomal RNA". It matches the Rfam family "Bacterial large subunit ribosomal RNA", at positions 1 to 1215 of the family's 2925-position model. Lineage: Bacteria; Pseudomonadati; Pseudomonadota; Gammaproteobacteria; Enterobacterales; Enterobacteriaceae. The record is from RNAcentral.
GGUUAAGCGACUAAGCGUACACGGUGGAUGCCCUGGCAGUCAGAGGCGAUGAAGGACGUGCUAAUCUGCGAUAAGCGUCGGUAAGGUGAUAUGAACCGUUAUAACCGGCGAUUUCCGAAUGGGGAAACCCAGUGUGAUUCGUCACACUAUCAUUAACUGAAUCCAUAGGUUAAUGAGGCGAACCGGGGGAACUGAAACAUCUAAGUACCCCGAGGAAAAGAAAUCAACCGAGAUUCCCCCAGUAGCGGCGAGCGAACGGGGAGCAGCCCAGAGCCUGAAUCAGUGUGUGUGUUAGUGGAAGCGUCUGGAAAGGCGUGCGAUACAGGGUGACAGCCCCGUACACAAAAAUGCACAUAUUGUGAGCUCGAUGAGUAGGGCGGGACACGUGGUAUCCUGUCUGAAUAUGGGGGGACCAUCCUCCAAGGCUAAAUACUCCUGACUGACCGAUAGUGAACCAGUACCGUGAGGGAAAGGCGAAAAGAACCCCGGCGAGGGGAGUGAAAAAGAACCUGAAACCGUGUACGUACAAGCAGUGGGAGCACGCUUAGGCGUGUGACUGCGUACCUUUUGUAUAAUGGGUCAGCGACUUAUAUUCUGUAGCAAGGUUAACCGAAUAGGGGAGCCGAAGGGAAACCGAGUCUUAACUGGGCGUUAAGUUGCAGGGUAUAGACCCGAAACCCGGUGAUCUAGCCAUGGGCAGGUUGAAGGUUGGGUAACACUAACUGGAGGACCGAACCGACUAAUGUUGAAAAAUUAGCGGAUGACUUGUGGCUGGGGGUGAAAGGCCAAUCAAACCGGGAGAUAGCUGGUUCUCCCCGAAAGCUAUUUAGGUAGCGCCUCGUGAAUUCAUCUCCGGGGGUAGAGCACUGUUUCGGCAAGGGGGUCAUCCCGACUUACCAACCCGAUGCAAACUGCGAAUACCGGAGAAUGUUAUCACGGGAGACACACGGCGGGUGCUAACGUCCGUCGUGAAGAGGGAAACAACCCAGACCGCCAGCUAAGGUCCCAAAGUCAUGGUUAAGUGGGAAACGAUGUGGGAAGGCCCAGACAGCCAGGAUGUUGGCUUAGAAGCAGCCAUCAUUUAAAGAAAGCGUAAUAGCUCACUGGUCGAGUCGGCCUGCGCGGAAGAUGUAACGGGGCUAAACCAUGCACCGAAGCUGCGGCAGCGACGCU